Molecule: ribosomal RNA, 460 nt
Filed under: uncultured bacterium
Lineage: Bacteria
Description: partial 16S ribosomal RNA
Rfam family: Bacterial small subunit ribosomal RNA
Source: RNAcentral
CCUACGGGAGUCAGCAGUGAGGAAUAUUGGUCAAUGGGCGCGAGCCUGAACCAGCCAAGUCGCGUGCGGGAAGACGGCCCUACGGGUUGUCAACCUCUUUUGCCGGGGAGCAACGGGCGCCACGUGUGGCGCCCCUGAGAGUACCCGGAGAACAAGCAUCGGCUAACUCCGUGCCAGCAGCCGCGGUAAUACGGAGGAUGCGAGCGUUAUCCGGAUUUAUUGGGUUUCAGGGGUGCGUAGUGUGAGCGUUAAGUCAGUGGUCACAUUGAGGGGCUCAACCCCUUCCCGCCAUUGAAACUGGCGCUCUUGAGUGGAAGAGAAGUAUGCGGAAUGCGUGGUGUAGCGGUGAAAUGCAUAGAUAUCACGCAGAACCCCGAUUGCGAAGGCAGCAUGCCGGCUUCCUACUGACGCUGAAGCACGAAAGCGUGGGGAUCGAACAGGAUUAGAUACCCUUGUAGUC